RNAcentral lists this ribosomal RNA (253 nucleotides) under uncultured bacterium. RNAcentral's name for it is "partial 16S ribosomal RNA". It matches the Rfam family "Bacterial small subunit ribosomal RNA", at positions 524 to 776 of the family's 1533-position model. The record is from RNAcentral.
UACAGAGGUCCCGAGCGUUACUGAGAAUCACUGGGUUUAAAGGGUGCGUAGGUGGUCCGUUAAGUCAGUUGUGAAAUCCCCGGGCUCAACUCGGGAACUGCUUCUGAUACUGGCGGACUUGAGGCCAGUAGGGGUCACUAGAACUGACGGUGGAGCGGUGAAAUGCGUAGAUAUCGUCAGGAAUGCCGGUGGUGAAGACGGGUGACUGGGCUGGUUCUGACACUGAGGCACGAAAGCGUGGGGAGCGAACAGG